RNAcentral lists this long non-coding RNA (854 nucleotides) under Cyanistes caeruleus (blue tit). RNAcentral describes it as "lncRNA (ENSCCEG00000017006.1)". The record is from RNAcentral. Lineage: Eukaryota; Metazoa; Chordata; Aves; Passeriformes; Paridae.
ACAAGGCUUUAACAUCAAAAUGCUCCUCCUACAGUACAGCAGCAAACCCUGUGAAAAUUAUUAAAUGCAUCUACAGAACACGAGGGCAUCAUGAGCAUGCAAAUCUCCACUGGAUCAGAAACUAUCCACACUCUUCCCUCACUCUUCACCUGAUCCUCAUAUUAAAAACCUCUGGGACACCAUCUAUGCUGCAGGCACACAAAUCCUGACAAGAUGGUAUCUCCACAGUAUGGCCUUUGCUGGAAUCCCAAGGCUUAGCAGACCAACCAUCAACAGAAAGGAAAGACCUCUGGCUGAGGGAUCUUGGAUCUGUCACGUCCUUUGCUUCAGGGAAAUGUCCCAUCCCAACCAGAAGAGGACAGAAGCACCAUCAGACUACACACAAUACAUCUCAGCUCAGGUCAGGAAAUAUAACUGGUGACUCAACAUAUUAUAUCACUACAGUUACAGAAUACCCUGAACAGGACUGGAAAAACAAUUUGCUGUGCCUUGUGCCCAUAACUGAAGACGAGACUACCAAACCGGCGCAGCUAAGCCACCUGAAUUGUUGGAACGAAGGGAGAAGUUCUCUGCUUGUGUCACACCAGUCUAGACCUGCAGACUGACUAAUUUGGGAAGGUCUGCAGCAAGCCUAGCUUCCCACCAGCCAGCCAGAAGUCUGCAGCAUUCCACUUCACGAAGCUGGUAUUUAUCUUGGGAUGCCUCAAGGAGUUCAGUCACAGCAUUUCCAGCGCCGGGAAUGCUCUCGGUAAGUGCGAACAGGUUGCACAAGGUAUAAAAACACGAGCCAUUUAGGCCCUUCCCAACUCUUGGAAUAUAAGGGCCCUACUUAUAAGAGCCACCCUCCAGCACCA